This 85-nucleotide transfer RNA is filed under the name Felis catus (domestic cat). It matches the Rfam family "tRNA". Rfam says of the family: Transfer RNA (tRNA) molecules are approximately 80 nucleotides in length. Their secondary structure includes four short double-helical elements and three loops (D, anti-codon, and T loops). Further hydrogen bonds mediate the characteristic L-shaped molecular structure. tRNAs have two regions of fundamental functional importance: the anti-codon, which is responsible for specific mRNA codon recognition, and the 3' end, to which the tRNAs corresponding amino acid is attached (by aminoacyl-tRNA synthetases). tRNAs cope with the degeneracy of the genetic code in two manners: having more than one tRNA (with a specific anti-codon) for a particular amino acid; and 'wobble' base-pairing, i.e. permitting non-standard base-pairing at the 3rd anti-codon position. Lineage: Eukaryota; Metazoa; Chordata; Mammalia; Carnivora; Felidae. The record is from Rfam by way of RNAcentral.
ACCUGGGUGGCUCAGUCGGUUGAGCAUCUGACUUCAGCUCAGGUCACGAUCUCAUGGUUUGUGAGUUCAAGCCCCACAUCGGGCU